RNAcentral lists this ribosomal RNA (254 nucleotides) under uncultured bacterium. RNAcentral's name for it is "partial 16S ribosomal RNA". It matches the Rfam family "Bacterial small subunit ribosomal RNA", at positions 524 to 776 of the family's 1533-position model. The record is from RNAcentral.
UACGUAGGGUGCGAGCGUUAAUCGGAAUUACUGGGCGUAAAGCGUGCGCAGGCGGUCUGUUAAGACCGAUGUGAAAUCCCCGGGCUUAACCUGGGAACUGCAUUGGUGACUGGCAGGCUUUGAGUGUGGCAGAGGGAGGUAGAAUUCCACGUGUAGCGGUGAAAUGCGUAGAUAUCUGGAGGAACACCGGUGGCGAAGGCGGCAUCCUGGGCCAACACUGACGCUGAGGAGCGAAAGCCAGGGGAGCAAACGGG